GAUACACUCUGCCUGGAGCCCAGGAGCCCCCACCUCAGUCGGCGCUGCAGAACCAGCCCAGGAGAGCAGCUGGCCUGUCAUCUGCUGAGGAGCGGAGGCGUGCGGGGAUCCGGAGGGGAAGGGGGUCUGGAGUGCUCCCGGGGAGACCCUCAGGGACUGCCCUGCUGCUGGCAGCGCCUGGGCCCAGGGCUGAUGGAGGCGUCUCCUGGCCUCCAGGGCUGUGCCCAGGACUGCAAUGGCCUCCCACACUACCUCACUACCCUGGUCCAGGCUCACUGACAGAUGAGGAAACUGAGGCAGG
This 301-nucleotide long non-coding RNA is filed under the name Pan troglodytes (chimpanzee). RNAcentral describes it as "long non-coding RNA NONPTRT009507". Lineage: Eukaryota; Metazoa; Chordata; Mammalia; Primates; Hominidae. The record is from RNAcentral.